AACGAACGCUGGCGGCAUGCCUAACACAUGCAAGUCGAACGAGACCUUCGGGUCUAGUGGCGCACGGGUGCGUAACGCGUGGGAACCUGCCCUUAGGUUCGGAAUAACUCCCCGAAAGGGGUGCUAAUACCGGAUAAUGUCUUCGGACCAAAGAUUUAUCGCCUUUGGAUGGGCCCGCGUUGGAUUAGCUAGUUGGUAGGGUAAAAGCCUACCAAGGCGACGAUCCAUAGCUGGUCUGAGAGGAUGAUCAGCCACACUGGGACUGAGACACGGCCCAGACUCCUACGGGAGGCAGCAGUGGGGAAUAUUGGACAAUGGGCGAAAGCCUGAUACAGCAAUGCCGCGUGAGUGAUGAAGGCCUUAGGGUUGUAAAGCUCUUUUACCCGGGAUGAUAAUGACAGUACCGGGAGAAUAAGCUCCGGCUAACUACGUG
This 433-nucleotide ribosomal RNA is filed under the name uncultured bacterium. RNAcentral's name for it is "partial 16S ribosomal RNA". It matches the Rfam family "Bacterial small subunit ribosomal RNA", at positions 29 to 507 of the family's 1533-position model. The record is from RNAcentral.